GUGGUGUUGGAGAAGACUCUUGAGAGUCCCUUGGACUGCAAGGAGAUCCAACCAGUCCAUCCUAAAGGAGAUCAGCCCUGGGUGUUCUUUGGAAGGACUGAUGCUAAAGCUGAAACUCCAAUACUUUGGCCACCUCAUGUGAAGAGCUGACUCAUUGGAAAAGGCUCUGAUGCUGGGAGGGAUUGGGGGCAGGAGGAAAAGGGGACGACAGAGGAUGAGAUGGCUGGAUGGCAUCACUGACUCGAUAGACAUGAGUUUGAGUGAACGCCGGGAGUUGGUGAUGGACAGAGAGGCCUGGCAUGCUGCAAUUCAUGGGGUCACAAAGAGUCAGAUACAACUGAGCAACUGAACUGAACAAUAAAAAUAAUAGGAUGUCACACAGAAUAAUAACAAUAUUUGUGACAUUUUUGCUUAUCUUUGUUAAUUUCCAUUAGAUGUAUAGGAAAAUGUCAGGAUCUUUUUUCAUUAUAUAUACAUAUAUUUUAAAAAUUUUUAUUCAUUCUUUGGCCAUGUCGAGUGGCAUGUGGGAUCUUAGUUCCUCAAUGAGGGAUUGACCCUGUACCCCCUGCAGGGGGAGCUCAGUCUUAACCCCUGGACCACCAGGGAAGUCCCCUCUCUAUAUUUCAAAGGAAAUCCUUGUGAGUUAAUUAUGCUUUGCCCCCAUGCUAUACAUACUGAGGCACACUGCCCUUGCAUUCUUGCUUCUUGGUUUAAAUACCAUCCUGGGUUUUUUUAACUCAGAAUUGUGAGCUGUUAGCUGCAGGACUGCUCAUAGGUCCCCCAGCUGCAGUAUCACCUGGGGAAAUGAGUAACUUGGAUGUUUGGACAGAAAACACGCAGUUGUCCUCUUGCCAGGGUCAGAGAGUCCUCUCUGCUUGAGAUCUUUGAGCCAAAGCUCAUGCAUCUCUGCUUCCCUCUUCUUGGAUCUCACCCACGUUCAAGGCCAAGGUCGGUCUCCCCCUCUGUUUUCUUCCACUCCUCCCUGGCCAUCUGCUUUCCAUCUCUAACUUCCAUAUCUUUCUUAGAACUCCUUCAGCUAAAAGUUCGGGAAUCAAAGGAAGAGCUGGAGGAGGCCAGGCAGCACUGGGACCCCAGAGAAGGCAGGUGUGACACACCCCAGCACCUGGCGCUUAACUAGAGCUCAGCAGUAAACAAUGAAUGCAGACCUGGAGGUGGGGCGGCUUAGGAUCCUGGAGAUAAGCGGGCCUACAGCUUUGACAGGUGAGCAGUGUUUCUUGGAGAAGGUGUGGGUGUCAGACGCUGAGAGUGGAUGAUCUCCCAUGCCACCUUUUCCAGUCUUUUUGUCCCCUUCCAGUCUCCAUCUGAUUCCCAUCCUCUGCUUUUCUUAGACUCCUCAUUCAAACCUGCCUUCUCACUUCUUGAUUUUAUAAUGCCUAUCACAUAGAUUAGAAUACGCCAACGCUUUAUUUGCAGUUGAGAAAGCAGCUAGCUGUUCACCUGCUUUCUAAUACACAGAAAUAGUUUCUUUCUGUUCUUUCUGGCUCUUUCGGAGCCUAGUACAGUUACUAGUUAGAUGGAUUUGCCUUAAAAAAAAAAAAAACCUUAUAAAAUGAUACAACAUAAUGAUAUUAUUCUUUUGUUAAGCAGCUCUCAACACCAAAGACAGGAGAAAGAAUCUGCCUUUCUCACUUCCACAGAAACAUCCCAUGGACAGGCCUCCAUGCCCUGGCAAGGUCACAGACCCACUCCUGCACUCAGCUCUAGGGGAGAAGAUGGAUGCUAUGACUGGUCACUCUCUUUAUGCACCUCCUUACCCUCAUCUUCCUAUGACCCAAGCUCCAACAAGCAACAAUAGAAAAAUGGAAAUCCACCAUCACUUCCCUACUAGAGAUCUUUCAGUCACUUCCUAUUCCACUUAGAAGAGAAUCCCAGAGUUUAGCCCUGGCCUAGAUUACCACAGGAUUUGGCCUCU
Long non-coding RNA from Bos grunniens (domestic yak), 1933 nucleotides. The record is from Ensembl. Lineage: Eukaryota; Metazoa; Chordata; Mammalia; Artiodactyla; Bovidae.